AUCGCUAAUGCUGCUUCCGUGAGAGUUGAAAACGAGAGAAAAAGGUCAGGUCUUAUUUGAUGCCUGGAAAAUGUGAAGCUCCAGUCCUGGUGUCCAACGGGGUUGACCAGUGAUCCAGUUGAUGGUGAACCUCCCAGUGGAACUUUGAGCCUCCACCACACCAUCCAGUGGAUUCUAUCUUCCCUGCAGUGAAAACAGAAUUCAGUCUGGUGGAAUCUGAAUAAAUACAGAUCCAGAUGCUCGCGACCCUCCAAAGAGGAUUCCUGAUGAGUUUGGUGAACUUUAUAGAGUUGAUGGUUGGAUUAAAGCCUCCGCCUGUCCAUUAGAGCUCCUCUGCUGCGUUUAAAGGCCUUCAGG
Molecule: long non-coding RNA, 357 nt
Organism: Amphiprion ocellaris (clown anemonefish)
Lineage: Eukaryota; Metazoa; Chordata; Actinopteri; Pomacentridae
Source: Ensembl